This 492-nucleotide ribosomal RNA is filed under the name uncultured bacterium. RNAcentral's name for it is "partial 16S ribosomal RNA". It matches the Rfam family "Bacterial small subunit ribosomal RNA", at positions 28 to 507 of the family's 1533-position model. The record is from RNAcentral.
GAUGAACGCUAGCUACAGGCUUAACACAUGCAAGUCGAGGGGAAACGGCAUUGAGUGCUUGCACUCUUUGGACGUCGACCGGCGCACGGGUGAGUAACGCGUAUCCAACCUUCCCAUUACUGUGGGAUAACCUGCCGAAAGGCAGACUAAUACCGCAUAGUCUUCGAUGACGGCAUCAGAUUUGAAGUAAAGAUUUAUCGGUAAUGGAUGGGGAUGCGUCUGAUUAGCUUGUUGGCGGGGUAACGGCCCACCAAGGCUACGAUCAGUAGGGGUUCUGAGAGGAAGGUCCCCCACAUUGGAACUGAGACACGGUCCAAACUCCUACGGGAGGCAGCAGUGAGGAAUAUUGGUCAAUGGACGGAAGCCUGAACCAGCCAAGUAGCGUGCAGGAUGACGGCCCUAUGGGUUGUAAACUGCUUUUGGAUGGGGAUAAAGUUAGGGACGUGUCCCUAUUUGCAGGUACCAUACGAAUAAGGACCGGCUAAUUCCGUG